UCCGGCUUAUCACCGGCAGUCCCACUAGAGUGCCCAACUGAAUGAUGGCAACUAAAGGCAGGGGUUGCGCUCGUUGCAGGACUUAACCCAACAUCUCACGACACGAGCUGACGACAGCCAUGCAGCACCUCGACUAGUGUCCCUUGCGGGAAAAGGAACUUUCACCCGCUUUAACCAGCAUGUCAAGCCCAGGUAAGGUUCUUCGCGUUGCAUCGAAUUAAGCCACAUGCUCCACCGCUUGUGCAGGCCCCCGUCAAUUUCUUUGAGUUUUAACCUUGCGGCCGUACUCCCCAGGCGGAUGACUUAAUGCGUUAGCUGCGCCACCGAAAGCCCAUGGCCCCCGACAGCUAGUCAUCAUCGUUUACGGCGUGGACUAC
RNAcentral lists this unclassified non-coding RNA (377 nucleotides) under uncultured Pseudomonadota bacterium. RNAcentral describes it as "uncultured proteobacterium contains 16S-23S intergenic spacer region". The record is from RNAcentral. Lineage: Bacteria; Pseudomonadati; Pseudomonadota.